UGGCCACUUUGACCUCCCCACCCACUCCCCUUUUUAAUUCCCCCCACCAAGGCAGGAAGCCUAAGCUGUGCCCAUCUGGGCAGAGGGAUCCUCCUCCUCUUGUCAUCACUGACAGUAUAUUGCAUGAAGAAAGACACAGCAAUCAGAAGAAGCAACAGGAAUAAUGUAUCCACAACCUAAUCUAUGGGAUUUCUUUUCUUCUCUGUCCUCCUCAUCCAGGAAGUAGGAGCUCCAGACACAAGAGGCAAUGGUCAAUGAGAAGAUACCUCUUCAGCUAGAAAUAAAAAUGUGUACAGCUCUAUAGCAGUGAAAUUACUUUGUUUCCUAACUUUUAAAAGAUCAUAUUAAGGUUUAUAGCUUUUGUUCCUGAAAUUAGUUUUUGUGUUUUGCUGGCUCUGCUGGACUUCAUGUAAUUAUGUUAAGAGUUCCUGUGGUUCUCAUUAUUCUUUCUUGCUUGCUGUUGGUGCAUAUAAAUAAAUUUCACUAUUCCCUUGUGGCCUGUGCUUUUUUUGAGCAAAUAUAGUUUUGGCAAGACUGUAUUAGGAAGGAUACCAUGAGUUCUGUUCUAGAGAGGCCAUAUAGAAGGCAGAUAUAUUCUACUGGAUGGUCUCAAGGAAUGGCAAAAGAUACACUGGGCACUGCUGGUAAUUUCUGUGGCUUCAUUAAGGCUACAUGCAGGUUUGUCUUUCUACAACUGGGAUCUUAGAGUGAUAUUCACCAACAAUAUAUCAAAAAAAAGCAUUGUGAAAGUUACAUAUUAAACUUUUUCUCAUUUGGCAUGGUCUUGAUGCCACUAGGAAUGCUAUCAUUAUGUCUCUAAUUGUGUAGCCAAUCAGAAGAUUUUUCUCUUCAUGAAACACUCCACACCUCAUGAGCAAAUAGACUAGAUGUUCACAAGAAAGUGGGAGAGGAUGCAGCUGGGACAGCUGACUGCAUUGACUAAAGGGCUACCCCAUACCACACAACAUCAUGCUCAGCAAUAAAAGCUGUAGAAGAAGAAUUAUGUGAGAGAGUUUUUUUAGAUAGAGUCUGAGGAUAAGGAUCUAAAUUUAAACCUAAGGAAGGCAGAAGAACUACAGACUUUCAGGUAAUGGAAUGUAUAGUUACCUUGGAGUAAGGAUUACUGUAAUUUCAGGUAUGUAAAUUAUAUUGUUGUCAUACAACAUUUCUGUCAGUGUAACCACAUUUUCUUUUCCACUUUAUGCUUAUCAUUUUAAUGUUCAACUUCCCUUAGUUCUGUUGUUUACAAAAUAAAUUCCUUAAUUGUUAAAA
Pogoniulus pusillus (Red-fronted tinkerbird) is the source of this 1272-nucleotide long non-coding RNA. RefSeq lists it as uncharacterized. The record is from RefSeq and is a predicted model, not a curated record. NCBI's taxonomy places the organism in Eukaryota, Metazoa, Chordata, Aves, Piciformes, Lybiidae. The transcript has 2 exons.